CGCAGCCACGGUAAUACGUAGGUGGCAAGCGUUGUCCGGAAUUAUUGGGCGUAAAGGGCACGUAGGCGGACAUUUAAGUCAGGGGUGAAAUCCCAGAGCUCAACUCUGGAACUGCCUUUGAUACUGGGUGUCUGGAGUAUGGAAGAGGUAAGUGGAAUUCCGAGUGUAGAGGUGAAAUUCGUAGAUAUUCGGAGGAACACCAGUGGCGAAGGCGGCUUACUGGUCCAUUACUGACGUUGAGGUGCGAAAGCGUGGGGAGCAAACAGGAUUAGAUACCCCUGUAGUCCCUGUCUCUUAUACA
RNAcentral lists this ribosomal RNA (301 nucleotides) under uncultured bacterium. RNAcentral's name for it is "partial 16S ribosomal RNA". It matches the Rfam family "Bacterial small subunit ribosomal RNA", at positions 510 to 808 of the family's 1533-position model. The record is from RNAcentral.